This 370-nucleotide ribosomal RNA is filed under the name uncultured organism. RNAcentral describes it as "bacterial SSU rRNA". It matches the Rfam family "Bacterial small subunit ribosomal RNA", at positions 526 to 896 of the family's 1533-position model. The record is from RNAcentral.
CGUAGGGUGCAAGCGUUAAUCGGAAUUACUGGGCGUAAAGCGUGCGCAGGCGGUUUUAUAAGUCUGAUGUGAAAUCCCCGGGCUCAACCUGGGAACUGCAUUGGAGACUGUAAGGCUAGAGUGUGUCAGAGGGGGGUAGAAUUCCACGUGUAGCAGUGAAAUGCGUAGAUAUGUGGAGGAAUACCGAUGGCGAAGGCAGCCCCCUGGGAUAACACUGACGCUCAUGCACGAAAGCGUGGGGAGCAAACAGGAUUAGAUACCCUGGUAGUCCACGCCCUAAACGAUGUCUACUAGUUGUCGGGUCUUAACUGACUUGGUAACGCAGCUAACGCGUGAAGUAGACCGCCUGGGGAGUACGGUCGCAAGAUUA